AAUAGAUACCCUGGUAGUCCACCCCGUAAACGUUGGGAACUAGUUGUGGGGUCCUUUCCACGGAUUCCGUGACGCAGCUAACGCAUUAAGUUCCCCGCCUGGGGAGUACGGCCGCAAGGCUAAAACUCAAAGGAAUUGACGGGGACCCGCACAAGCGGCGGAGCAUGCGGAUUAAUUCGAUGCAACGCGAAGAACCUUACCAAGGCUUGACAUACACCAGAACACCCUAGAAAUAGGGGACUCUUUGGACACUGGUGAACAGGUGGUGCAUGGUUGUCGUCAGCUCGUGUCGUGAGAUGUUGGGUUAAGUCCCGCAACGAGCGCAACCCUCGUUCUAUGUUGCCAGCACGUAAUGGUGGGAACUCAUGGGAUACUGCCGGGGUCAACUCGGAGGAAGGUGGGGAUGACGUCAAAUCAUCAUGCCCCUUAUGUCUUGGGCUUCACGCAUGCUACAAUGGCCGGUACAAAGGGCUGCAAUACCGUGAGGUGGAGCGAAUCCCAAAAAGCCGGUCCCAGUUCGGAUUGAGGUCUGCAACUCGACCUC
RNAcentral lists this ribosomal RNA (544 nucleotides) under uncultured bacterium. RNAcentral's name for it is "bacterial SSU rRNA". It matches the Rfam family "Bacterial small subunit ribosomal RNA", at positions 777 to 1319 of the family's 1533-position model. The record is from RNAcentral.